AUGGAGCUCUCUGCUGGCAUCCCCUCCACUUUGCGAUCCCCAUCCACAGCCAAAGCUCUCCGUUGGCCGCACCUCCCCUUCGUCAGCAACGCCGGCGGAGGCGCAGGCCCCUGCUCCGCCCCGCCUCUCCCCCUCGUCACCACCACCGGCGGACGCGCAGGCCCAGCUCUGCCCGCCCCUUCUUCUUAUCUGGUGCCGCCCGGGCCCUCCCUCCUCCUGGCCACGGCGGAGCGCUCGAGCCGGGCAUGCUCGCCGGCGAUGCCGGGGCCCUCCCUCCUCCUGGCCACGGCGGGGCGCUCGGGCCGGGCAUGCUCGCCGGCGACGUCGGGGCCCUCCCUCCUCCUGGCGACAGCGGGGCGGUCGAGCUGGGCAUGCUCGCCCGCGACGCCGGGGCCUUCCCUCGUGCUGAUGCACUCGCCGCCCAGGAACUUCCCUCACCCCCUCCCCGCUGCUAGAGACGCCAUGAAGGAGCAGGAGCAGUUGCUGCUCGCGACCUCCUUCUUGAUUAGGAUCACCAAGAUGACCUUGUGUGCUGUGCUGCCGCUCGGGACCCUCCCUAUGCUUCUCCUCGCUCGUCCGGGUCCAGCUUAG
Molecule: ribosomal RNA, 591 nt
Filed under: Triticum aestivum (bread wheat)
Lineage: Eukaryota; Viridiplantae; Streptophyta; Magnoliopsida; Poales; Poaceae
Description: partial small subunit ribosomal RNA
Source: RNAcentral